GGUUUUCGGACCUAGAGACCGGCGCACGGGUGCGUAACGCGUAUGCAAUCUACCUUUUACAGAGGGAUAGCCCAGAGAAAUUUGGAUUAAUACCUCAUAGUAUUAUUGAAUGGCAUCAUUUAAUAAUUAAAGUCACAACGGUAAAAGAUGAGCAUGCGUCCCAUUAGCUAGUUGGUAAGGUAACGGCUUACCAAGGCAACGAUGGGUAGGGGUCCUGAGAGGGAGAUCCCCCACACUGGUACUGAGACACGGACCAGACUCCUACGGGAGGCAGCAGUGAGGAAUAUUGGUCAAUGGGCGCAAGCCUGAACCAGCCAUGCCGCGUGCAGGAUGACGGUCCUAUGGAUUGUAAACUGCUUUUGUACAGGAAGAAACAGUUCUACGUGUAGAACCUUGACGGUACUGUAAGAAUAAGGAUCGGCUAACUCCGUGCCAGCAGCCGCGGUAAUACGGAGGAUCCAAGCGUUAUCCGGAAUCAUUGGGUUUAAAGGGUCCGUAGGCGGUUUAGUAAGUCAGUGGUGAAAGCCCAUCGCUCAACGGUGGAACGGCCAUUGAUACUGCUAGACUUGAAUUAUUAGGAAGUAACUAGAAUAUGUAGUGUAGCGGUGAAAUGCUUAGAGAUUACAUGGAAUACCAAUUGCGAAGGCAGGUUACUACUAAUGGAUUGACGCUGAUGGACGAAAGCGUGGGUAGCGAACAGGAUUAGAUACCCUGGUAGUCCACGCCGUAAACGAUGGAUACUAGCUGUUCGGAGCAAUCUGAGUGGCUAAGC
Molecule: ribosomal RNA, 772 nt
Filed under: uncultured bacterium
Lineage: Bacteria
Description: bacterial SSU rRNA
Rfam family: Bacterial small subunit ribosomal RNA
Source: RNAcentral